UUAAUUGAAGCCAAAAAGAGGCAUUUCAUUGUUAAUGAAAACAUUGACUUUAUAGUCCAAUUAAA
This 65-nucleotide transfer RNA is filed under the name Alloeorhynchus sp. RNAcentral's name for it is "tRNA-Asn". The record is from RNAcentral. Lineage: Eukaryota; Metazoa; Arthropoda; Insecta; Hemiptera; Nabidae.